Molecule: non-coding RNA, 277 nt
Organism: Pelobates cultripes (western spadefoot toad)
Lineage: Eukaryota; Metazoa; Chordata; Amphibia; Anura; Pelobatidae
Source: the annotation of a GenBank genome assembly
CAAAAAAGGUGAAAAAAGCAGGACUAACAAUUCUGAAUAUUAAAAAGGACACUAUAGGCACUCAGACUCCUUCAGCUCAAUGAAGUGGUCUGGGUGCAGUGUCCCUGUCCCACUUAGUCAUGCAAUGUAAAACACUUUUUUUUUUUUAGAAACUGCAAUAUUUACAUUGCAGCACAAGAACAGUCUCUAGUGGCUGUUUUCUAGACAGCCACCAGAGGCGCUUCUGAGAUUUUCCAGACGCUAGGUCGCUUAAUUGAAACUGUCAGUUAGGUCUGUU